Molecule: long non-coding RNA, 2786 nt
Filed under: Gossypium barbadense (sea-island cotton)
Lineage: Eukaryota; Viridiplantae; Streptophyta; Magnoliopsida; Malvales; Malvaceae
Description: long non-coding RNA (GBAR_LNC014507)
Source: RNAcentral
CUAAGUGAAUGUGAUUUGUUAUAAAUAGAGCAGUCUCAAGUACCCUCCUCCACCAUCAAGAGAAUUGAGAGAGCAAUUGGUGUGGCUGUGGCGAGGAGAUCAUAUAUCUCACAUAAAUAAGAGUAUGGUUUUGGGUCGCAUGCUUGCGUGGAACCAUCAAAACUUUGCAUUUGAAAAGGGGUGAUGGUGCCACGCUGUGUGCGCCUAAAAUGCAUAUUCUUCUACUAUAUUUGAUGAAAUGUUGGAAAAUGUGCAAAGCUUAGCACUAAGGUUAAAUCUUCACUUUGAAAUGAUGUGAUGCCUCUCUGUUUUCUAUGGACUUCCAUUUCAUGUCUUCUUGUUAAUUUCCCCUCCUUGUCCCCCGGAUUUCAUAAUUUCUGUCCAUUAUUUUAUUGUAUCUAUUUAGAUUUCUUGUUCUUGUGUUAGCAGGUAGGGUAGUAGCUGACUGAUAAGCUCCCAGUACAGAAUUAACAACCCUGGGCUUUUUGAUGUUUUGACAAGAAAAAAAAGAUUACAAAUUAGAGUAGAGAUAUCAGUUGGUUUGUUUGCAGGACAGUAAAGGUCUCUACUGUCUAGCUGAAGAUCAAGUGACCACUUCCUUAAGAAAAUGCUGGUUUGAAAACAAUUAGCCAUCCACCCCCACGAUGGACUGCGCUUUCGCUGAGAUUAACUUUGAAAUUAAUGAUGAAUUUAAUAUCAAAAUGUGUGGUUGAAUUCAAAACUAAUUAUGAGGUUGGGGUUAAAAUGGAAAAAUGAUCUUUAAAUAUAAUGUAUAUAUAAACUAAAAAUUAUUAAUGAUUUGAUAUUUAACACUGUCGUUUAAUUAAUAAAAUAAUAAUGUGUAUCAUAAUAUUUGUCUUUAUUUUUAUUAUUUUUUAAAAUAAUGUUUACAUUAAUUUAAGUGUAAUAUGUAUUUUUAUAAUAUUUAACGUAUAAAACUUUAAAAUUCAUAUAAAUACUUUAAUGAUUUAUUUAAUAAUUAUUUUAAAUUAUUUAUUAUAUUAAAUGAUAAAUUUUAUUUAAUUGAGAAUUAUUUCAAACAAAUGAGAAUAAUUGUAAGUUUAUUGAUAUCAGUCUUUUGGAAUAGAAAUAAAUAAAAGGUGAGUAUUUGAUAUAUUGACGGUGUAUUUUUAUUUUACAACAGUUUUAAAAAAUUGUAAUGUAUCUUUUUUAAUAUUUUAUCAUACUUCAACCCUCGACAUACAUGUAGAAUUUAAAAAUUUCACUAUCAAUAUAUUAAAUAUUUCCCCAAAAUGAUAUAUUUGUUAAAGGAGGGUCCAAUUAAUAUUUAGUGAGAAUUCGAGACAUCAAUUGGCAAAGUACAUUGAUCUCAUGUUAUCGAAACACAAGUUUGCAUUGCAACAGAAAUUUUCAAGAGCUAAUAAUGGAAUUUAAAUGCGCAUCCAAAAGGACACUAAGAGAAAAUGGUAAUCCCCUUUUCACCUUUGUUAUAGACAACAAUAAAAAACAAUAGUUGGGUUGGGACAAAUUUGGUUUCUUGACCUAUUCUCUUUGCUUAGCGUACGUGGAAGAAUGGAAUUCUUUUUUGUCUUUUAAGGAUUAAUAUGGAGUCUUAUAGAAAUUAUUAAGAUAUCAGUAAAUUGGAUGAAAUAGUAUAAUUCAAUGUAUAUGUAGGAUCUGCCUAGUUAGUGCAAUUUAGAUUUUGAGCGCCUCUUGAGAGGGACUUUGGAAUGAUAAAUAGUUGAAAUUUGGUUGUGUUUAUUUAGCCUAGUUGGUUUUUUACAAAAAAAAAAAAAAAAUCGAAAUUAUAUAAGGCUUAACUUAUAAAUUGGUAUUUAAAUUAUCCUAUUUUCUUAUUCUAAUAUAUAAAUUUUUGUUUUCAUUAGAAAUGGUAUCUAAAUUAAUUUUUUUAGUUGAUACCUCCCUCGGUUAAAUUUUAGUCAACCAUGAUCAAUAAUAAUGCGACUCAAUCACAUAGCGACACAUGACAUAAAAAGCCACAUAAGCAUUGUCGAAACCACUUAUUUGAAAAAUUAAAAUUUUUGUUAUCGACUUAUUAAAAAUGAAAAUGGGGAGUCAUCUUUUAUUAAGGUGUGAUCGGUUCACCAUUAAAAAUAAAUUUUAGGUCUGCGAGAUUUAAGACAAUAGGUCCGGGAGUCGGUUACACACGAGGAAGGGUUAGCACCCUCGUAACGCCCAAAAUUGGUACCGAAUCGAUUGUUUAAUGUCUUAUUGUCGAAACUUGAAAAGAUUUUAGAAUACAAUCCUUUGAAAUACAAUUCUUUGAAAAGAAAAUUUUAAUAAUCGAAUUGGAAAAUAAGACUUACCCACUUUAAAGAAAUAAAUCGUCACACUCAGUGAGUUAGAACGCAACAAUUCAAUUUUCGAAGUUAGAUUCGUCCUUUUUUAAAAAAAAUUUUAAAAAAAAUCAUACAUUUUGAGAAUGAUAUUUGGUUAUUUAGAUCAAUCGAGAAAUCAAAACCCAGUAAGUUAGGGUUCAAUUUUCUUAAAAUUCCUAAACACUAAAUAUUACCUUUAUUUUAAAAACGAGAUAACAAAAUGUCAUAUCCAGUAAGUUAGGAUCCAACAUUUUGAAAUCUAAAGAAUUUUAUUUUAAAAAUAUACGUCUUAAAAAGAAAUGGAUACUUGAUGAUAUAAAUUCAUCGAGAAGAAUUGAAGCCCAGUAAGUUAGGGCACAAUUCUCUCGAGAAUUAUUUAACACCAAGCCCUUUUUUGAAUUUUGAAAUGAAACGAUUAUAAUAUCUUAAUGAAAUGAAAUUCUUACAAACAACAUGAUUGAUUAACAAUAUACAAAGCAAAUGAUG